AGCAGGCGCGCAAAUUACCCAAUCCCGACACGGGGAGGUAGUGACAAUAAAUAACAAUACGGGGUUCUUUAGGAUCUCGUAAUUGGAAUGAGUACAAUUUAAAUCUCUUAACGAGGAACAAUUGGAGGGCAAGUCUGGUGCCAGCAGCCGCGGUAAUUCCAGCUCCAAUAGCGUAUAUUAAAGUUGUUGCAGUUAAAAAGCUCGUAGUUGAAUUUCGGGGUUAGNAGGUUGGUCAUGCCUCUGGUAUGUACUGGUCUCACUGAUUCCUCCUUCCUUAUGAACCGUAAUGCCAUUAAUUUGGUGUUGCGGGGAAUUUGGACUGUUACUUUGAAAAAAUUAGAGUGUUUAAAGCAAGCUAACGCUUGAAUACAUUAGCAUGGAAUAAUGAAAUAGGACGUUCGAUCUUAUUUUGUUGGUUUCUAGGAUUGACGUAAUGAUUAAUAGGGAUAGUUGGGGGCAUUAGUAUUCAAUUGUCAGAGGUGAAAUUCUUGGAUUUAUUGAAGACUAACUACUGCGAAAGCAUUUGCCAAGGAUGUUUUCAUUAAUCAAGAACGAAAGUUAGGGGAUCGAAGACGAUCAGAUACCGUCGUAGUCUUAACCAUAAACUAUGCCGACUAGGGAUCGGGUGAUGUUAAUUUUUUAAUGACUCAUUCGGCGCCUUACGGGAAACCAAAGUGUUUGGGUUCA
Molecule: ribosomal RNA, 687 nt
Filed under: uncultured Glomeromycotina
Lineage: Eukaryota; Fungi; Glomeromycota
Description: SSU rRNA
Rfam family: Eukaryotic small subunit ribosomal RNA
Source: RNAcentral